UCCAUUGCAGCUGUCCUGUCACAGUUGAAGCGAGUUAAUGAGUGGUUGGAUCGAGUUGUAUCGAAAAGGGAUGAUCUACUGAAUGAAAAGGUUGAUCGGCUCAAGAGAAAGAUCUAUGGCUUUGUCAUUCAACAUGUUGGGACGACGUUUGACAAUUCCUCACCUCGUGCUUCAUCUUGAUUUCAUAUUUUAGGCUGGCCUUUCUGGAUUAAUCAAGGAUAGAGAUUUGAGUCUCUUUGCUAUUGAUUCACUUACUAUCCAAUUAAUUAUGCUUUUUCAACUCCCCCUUGAGGAUGUGAAUUGAGUCGCUUCUAAUUGUAAGAUAUGGUUCUCUAGUUAUAUUGGCAUUUUGAUUUGAAUUCUGGUAUAUUUACUAAUGUGAAGAAAAGCCAUUCCAUAUUAUCCAUUUUCACAAUUCAUGAUCCUCAAUGUCAUUCAGAUUUGAUAAAGGCAAAUUACCAGAAAGUAGUUUCCUUCACUGUGGAUGUGAAAAAGCUAUGAAUGUGAAUGUGAAAACGCUUGGAAGAAUCCUUCCAGCAGAAAUGCCUACCUUAUUAGAAGUUGCUAACAUGUAACUAAGGUCUAGACUGGGAUUAUUUUUAGAUGUAAGUAAUACUUGAAAACGAAACCUUUCCAUAAAGCUAUGGAAUUUGCCUAUGCGGCCGGACCCUGGGGAGCUACAUCAUGGGAUGUGUAGGAAGGAAAGCAUCCGCAAUCCGCACGAGACCGGUGGGAAGAUACACAUAGUUUAGAGUUGGUUGAUAAGGAUUCCGACAGGUAUAUGGCACUUCCACCAUCUGCAAAGCAGACUUCUGAGGGCCAAAUGUGUAGCAAUCAUAAUGAAAAUAGUGUGGGAACUGGCAGGCCACACAAAGGAUCUCUCUUUCACGAAACGGGCUACGGCAGAUGGGGCAUGAUUGAUUGAGAACAAAUGACAUUUUUCUCUUCUGUGUUUCUUUGUGAGCUUCUUGCUAUUUUGUUACUUGAAAGAAGAACAAAGAGGUUUGCUUUUCCCAAACAAAGUUUUGUCAUAAAUGUAGAGGGAAAGCAUAUAAGAAGCAUGUCUGGUUAUACACAUGCAGAAAAGGAGGAGCAUAGGAAAUCGAUGAGCCUAAGUGCCUAACCACCAGAUAUGCUUCUACAAUUUGCAUUUCUGGAGUUCAUACUAUUUAUGAGAACAAGCAUAUAGGGCAAUCCUAGUUCACCAAUACUUGCAAGAUUUUACCCUGUUUCCCAUGGAGAUGGAUGAGUCUUAUUAAAGUUGAAACCAAUCCUUUCUACCAUGUUCACUGUACAUUUCCAUAGAUAUAAGAAAGACACAUCAUGAAAUGGUGGUGGAUGCAUAUAUUCAAUAGCUAUACGCCUAUACCAUACAAGAUUUCAAAAAGAGACUUGAUAUUAUAGCAAGAGUUGUCUGUACUGUAUUGGGUGAGGAUAACCCAAAUAACAUAAAUCACAUUAUCCGAUCAGAAUAAAAGAUUUUGUUUAUAUUUAUAUCGACAAUCAAAUAUGAUGUUAAUAAGUAUUGAUACACUUACUUAAAAUU
RNAcentral lists this long non-coding RNA (1546 nucleotides) under Fragaria vesca (wild strawberry). RNAcentral's name for it is "long non-coding RNA (FVES_LNC002443)". Lineage: Eukaryota; Viridiplantae; Streptophyta; Magnoliopsida; Rosales; Rosaceae. The record is from RNAcentral.